UUUCAUUUCUUCUUGGUGGUUGUGUGCAUGCGGUGGGAUUGUGAGUGCGUGUGCGAGCCGUCGGCAAUGCUGACUUCUUCCGAGUGUGGUCUUCCAGGCGGAGGGUUGUGUGUCCGAGUGUGAUGGUGUCCGCGGUCUUUGGGCUGUUGAUUUGGAUUCUUCGAGCCCUCCUGCGUUUUCAUCGCUGUAUACGAUUAUGCUCGUUUUUCCUUCUCGACAAGAGUCUGGCUCUGCGUGUUGGGUUGUGUGGCCUUUGCGACUGUAUUUGGGUGGUUUCGUUGUUGUGUCGGGCAUAUGUGAUCCUGACUACGUUAGAUGUGUGUCCUUGAACGAUUGCGUUCUGAUUUCGUUGUACCGUGUUGGCCAGUGUGCGGGCCUGACCAUGUCGGCUUGGAGGGCAGCGCUGGGUUGUGCUUACUUUGCUUCCCUUCUGUGGGGCUGGACCGUGUGUGGUCCUGUCCGUACUGGGUUGUGUGCCUGUGUGCUUGUGUCCUUUAGAAGUGUAUUUGCAGAUCGGUGGGGGGUGGAGGGGAGGGCGAGCAGGAGAUGGAACCGCAAGUUGAGGAGGCGGCAAGGGGGCGGGGAGAGGGAUUUCACAUUUUAUUCCAAAUUAUGAUGUAUUCGGAAGCCAGUGUUGGCUUGGAUGGGCAGACGGAGCCCGAUCGGCGGCUGCUCUGUCCAGAGGCCGGUCCGUGCCUCGGUGUUUGAGGGGUUUGUUAGCGAGUGGGAGGUUCUUCCAGGCUCGAAGCUGAGCAGCGCUCGCCGAGGCCCGCGCCUUCACGCCCAUAGCCGCUGGCUUCGGUUUCCGCCGCAUCCAGGCUUCAUCCAUUUCUGGUCAGUUUCGCAGGUACCUCCGCGGGGUCUGCGGUCUCGAGAGACCUGGAGAAGACAAUGGGCGCAUUCUCCGGGUUUCGCUCCUGGGGUGGGGACCCUCAGGUUAAUCUACAAAGAACACUUUUCCAUCCCUUCCCCGGGUGAGCGACAUUGCGGUGUGGGUCAGGUAUCCGUCGCAUGGGUGACCAGAGCCAGGCUUUGUGGAGGGAUGGGGUCAGUGCUGCCCUCGCUGUAUAAAAAUGGAUUUUGUUUUGCCAGUUAUUGUUGUUAUUAAUGUCAUCAUCAUCAUCAUCAUCAUCAUCAUCAUCAUUCUAUUUAAUUAAAGUAAUCGUUAAGUAGCGAAGUGGCUUGUCCAACCUUUUAGCUUCUUAGGAGCGAUAACAAAGCAGCCCGGUCCCCCCCAACCAGCUCUAUAUUUUUAAGUUGCUGGGUUUGAGGUAAGGAAAGAAAAUGGAGAGAGGAACGGGGCACAGAGACGCUGUCAUAAAGCAAAAAUUAACCCGGACCUAAGACACGGGAAUGAGUGGAUUCCCCCCUCCCCCACCAUCUGGAUUGGAAGAGGAGAAAGAAAAUCUCCCGCAUUGGACUGAAACCCCAGGGAAGAAUUAUUCCUAUAUUUCCACCAAAGCCAGAGCAAAAAGGAGUCCUUUGGAAUUAAUCCAGGAUUUCGAUGUGUAAUCAUAAACUGGACAAUUUAGGCAAAACAAAUUAAAUAAAACCCUUUGGAGAAGAAAAAAAUGCAACCUAGAUCCCCCUGUCUUACACACUGGGGAGCAGUAUUGGAUUUUACCCUCCCUGCCUUUGCCUUGUUUAUUGCUGCAAGGAAUUAGAAUUCUCCUGUACUCUGAACACUGAAAAAAUGAAAAUCAUUGUGUGGAGAUGGUUGAAAGGAAGGUGGCGGCGGGCUUUUCUUUUCUUUCUUUUCUCUCUCUCUCUUUUUUUCUCUCAUUGGUAGGAAGAAAAGAGGGGACAGAUAGAUCAGAUAUUUGCCACCCCCAUCCUCUUGGAUCCGUGCUGUUCUGACUCCAUUCCUGUGGGAAAAUAGCCUUUGGAAUUGGGUUCUGGUUUCGUUUUGCACUAAAGGUGGGCAUGGAGAGAAUGGGGACCUUGGACGUUCUGCCCUACAGAUCAGGGUCUGAAAACCGGAUUCCCUUUUUCCAACACACAUUUACCCACCCAGUGGUACUAGGCGUUGCGGCCGCUGAUCCCGCCUGACCCGGGUUCCCAAGCCAACCGCCUAGACCCGUCAGUGCUUAGAAAACAAACUCGGCCACACUGAACCAGACAACCCCGUUGGAGGGCCCGAAAUUGUUCCCGCGGUCGGUUGGUGCAGACCUUAAGCUCCUUGUUGUUGUUGGAGUAAAUAGUUAUUCCUGAUUGGUCAAGUGUAGGGUUCUUUUUAAAGGGGGACUGGGGGGAAGCUUCAAACACCUGCAGGGUGGGGGCAGAAAGGCAUUUGCAAUUCCCUGGGCUGCUUGGCGACGACAGGAGGUAAUUCCCAGCCAUUGACCCCCAUUUCUCUCUCUCCCUCCCUCUCGCCCUCCCUCUUUCUCUCCACCCCCAUCUUUCCUGGAAACUGGCUUUGGGCGCGGCAGACUGCCCAGGACCACACCGUGGCCUAACUGCUGGUCUCUCAGCGAGAGAGGGGAAAAGCAAAGAUCCCCGUCCGCAGCUUGGACCUUGGCUCCUGCCUCUCUCCAGUGGCGGAGUGGAGAUCCUAUUCAGAGGGGCCGGUUUCUCUAAAUAUGCCCCAGGAUGACGGAGCGGCCGCCCAGCGAGGCGGCCCACAGUGACCCCCCGCUCGAGGGACGGGACGCGGCCGCGGCCGAGGCCCGCAUGGCCCCCCCGCACCUGGUACUGCUGAACGGCGUCGCCAAGGAGACAAGCCGCGCGGCCCCUGCGGAGCCCCCGGUCAUCGAGCUGGGCGCUCGCAGCGGUCCGGGGGGCGGCCCCGCCGGUGGGGGCGGCGCCGCGCGGGACUUAAAGGGCCGCGACGCGGCGGCGGCGGCCGAAGCGCGCCAUCGGGUGCCCACCACGGAGCUGUGCAGACCUCCGGGGCCCGCGCCCGCCUCGGCCCCUGCGGAGCUGCCCGGCGACGGCCGCAUGGUGCAGCUGAGCCCGCCCGCGCUGGCGGCCCCCCCCGCCCCCGGCCGCGCGCUGCUCUACAGCCUCAGCCAGCCGCUGGCCUCGCUCGGCAGUGGGUUCUUUGGGGAGCCAGAUGCCUUCCCUAUGUUCGCCACCAACAACCGAGUGAAGAGGAGACCCUCCCCUUAUGAGAUGGAGAUUACUGAUGGUCCCCACACCAAAGUAGUGCGACGCAUCUUCACCAACAGCCGAGAACGAUGGCGGCAGCAGAAUGUGAAUGGGGCCUUUGCUGAGCUCCGCAAGCUGAUCCCCACACAUCCCCCAGACAAGAAGCUUAGCAAGAAUGAGAUCCUCCGCUUGGCCAUGAAGUACAUAAACUUCCUGGCCAAGCUGCUCAAUGACCAGGAGGAGGAGGGUACCCAGCGGGCCAAGCCUGGCAAGGACCCCGUGGUGGGGGUUGGUGGUGGAGGCGGUGGGGGAGGGGGCGGUGCACCUCCUGAUGACCUCCUGCAGGACGUACUGUCCCCGAACUCCAGCUGCGGCAGCUCGCUGGAUGGGGCGGCCAGCCCGGACAGCUACACAGAAGAGCCGGCCCCCAAGCACACAGCCCGCAGCCUCCAUCCCACCAUGCUGCCGGCCGCUGAUGGAGCAGGUCCUCGGUGAUGGGGCCGGGGCCGUUCAGGACCAGCCGGGAGGGCACCCUCAGGCCGCCGGGCCCGUGGGCUUCAGGGCAGGUGGGGUGAGGAUUGGGCAGCUCUGAAGCAGGGCAAUGGACUCGAUGAGCUUUCCUUGGUGUCUGAACUUGGCAGAGCUCUAACUGCCCCCAGGGCAGCUUCCCUGACUUCUGCCUCAGUGGGAGAACAGAAAAAUGGAGCAAAGUGGUAGGUACUUUUUAUGAAGACGGCACGGUCUUCCCCCUUCCCCCAAUCCCUAAGACUUCUCCAGUAAGAAGCUGGACUGACUCUGCUUUUGGCCUAGAGCUUAGGGGCCUUGUCUUUGACAAGACCUGGGGUUAUCAGCUCUCCCUGGCAGCAUCCAGCAGCCUCUGCCUUGCCUUUAGCCCCUCCCAAGCUGGCCGGUGUGGCUUGUGUGGCCACUCUGUCCAAAUAUGUAGGUACCCAGUCGCCGCCCAUUUCUGGGUGAGCCCCAUCUUCACCCAGGCCCAUGUCGGUCCACCCAGCUUGCCAGCUGCUGUAGACAGUCACAAGCCUCGAGGUGCCUUCUACAGGGCCUGGUUGAAGAAGAUGGCCAGUGGACAGCCUGCUCUCAACUAGCUGGGCCAGAGGGUCAGAAAACCCAGUAGCCCUUACUGCUUGCCCCGGGGAUCAAAGCUCUGCUUUCUCCCCACUGAGACUUGCCUUCCUAAUCCUUGCGGGGAUUGAGUCUGUAGCUGAGAGCCUGCCUUGGCAGGCCUCAUGAAGGCAGAGAGAGGGAGAAAGGUGAGUGUGAAAUUGAACCAGAGCUCUUUGGGGCUUUGGGUUCGAAUCCUGGCGGUGUCUCAGAGCAGCCUGCCUGUACUCUCCACUCCCCGCCGCUGUUCUAGUGGCGAGCCAAUGGCUGUGUGCCGAUGGCCGUGUGCCGAUGGCCAUGCGCCGCUGCUUAGCGUGGAUGUGCAGCCCCAUCUGUGGGUCUCCCGAUGCUCUUCUCCGGGGUGUGUGUCUGCUGACGGUCUGGUCUGAACCCAGCUGAGCACAAACCCUGUCCUGCGAAUUCCUGGCAUUUGGGAUUUUUGCUUGACUUUAGUUAUUGGUGAGAUCUUUAGGUCUUGAUAAGACCCAGGCUGUAGCCCCACUUGGAAGGCAGGGGGAAAACCAAUCAGAGACCAGGCCCUGGCUGAGAUCCAGACAAGUGCACAUUCACGCAGCAGAAUCUCCAGCACCCCUGGAUUCUACAACUCUCAGUCAUCUAGGGUGUGUUUGGAAGGCUGGCUUACCACCACAGGAGCACCCCCCUCUGAGAGCUGUACAUGAAAUUUUUGUAAAUCGAACCCUUAUCCUUCAUCUUUUAAAGAAAUACUACUGCAAGUCCUUUUGUAAAGUGAAGAAUUUUUUUUGUAGAGUGGACCACUGCCCCUUGUUGAUCUCUUGUGUCAAUCCAGGUGGUGGGACAUGGUUUUCUUAAGGCCAGGCCUGCCUGUGACAUGUGUUCCACACCCAUGGAACAAACCCCGCACAAGUCCUAUACACGUGUCAUUGUACCCUCAAGUCACCGCAGCCACCUCCCACCAGAUUCCGUCUUUGAGGUUAAAGGGAAGACAGUCCCACCCAGUGAAGGGCCUUGAGCAGAGCCCUGUGCUCACAGGGCACAAACCUGGCUCUGUCCCCUCCCUCUUAAGUUGUGAGGUCCAGUUUGUGAGUAGGGGAGCAACGUGGUAAUCCUUUAGCACUCAGACUCUCUGUCCAUUUCAGACCCCCAGCAUCCUAUUUUGCUGAACAUUAGGCUUGUUUUCUUUCCAAUGCUUAGAAGCUCCUGUGAGGAAUCCCAUCUGUGUAAAGAGGGAGCUCCUAUCCUCGGUCCUAAAGCUUCGUUUGUUUCCCGGUGGAUUAAUUUGACUCGGAGUGAACAGUGGCCACAGUAUGGAUGGAUGGAGAGGUUUUAGGAGACGGAUCGCUCAUUCUAUCAGGAACUCAGGCUUCUGGCUUCCUCUUCUCUCAGACUUGCAGAAUGACGUGGAUAAGUUAUCCCUCUCUCAGUGUCGUUUCUCAUAAAAUAUCCUGGCUUGGCCUGUCCACUAGGGCUGUGGAUUCCAUUCCAAGUGAAAUCAUGAAAGUAGAAGCAUUUUGAGACCAGAAAGAACUCUUUCGACCUCAGCAUCAUUCCUGCAAUGGGGUUUCCCAUCCUGAGUCCGGGGCCUGGGCAGUGGGCCAGUCUGCCUGACUGUGCAGGAUCUGGGUAAUUUAGGUUCCAAACCACUUUUGCCUGAGUUAUCCUGAUUGUCCUCAUUUCUCCAGGUUGACCUCAUUUGUGUCUCCUUCCAAGGAGAGGUAGAGGAGUGAGAAUGGAAAAAGAUAUGGGCAAAGAACAUGUAAGACAUAACACAGCUUCCCGCAACGGGCCUGGGUAGGGAUGGGCAAAGCCUCAUGUUUUUGUAAGACUGACUGAAGAUCCAAAAUUUUAAUGUUCAUCUGCACACCCCCUCGCCCCACCCACUACACCCUCCUCCUUCCUCUGUCUCGUCACCUAUGAAGAAAUGGCAACCUCCCGAGAAUAAUACCUGUGCCAAGGGAAAAGAUGUAAAGGGGGAAAAAAUUGAGAGCAGAGAUGAUUGUAAGAACUGGAGGGAUUCGCAUCUUUUCAGGAAAAUUCUUAUGCUUUUAUUAGCGGUGACAAACGACAAGAUGGUACAGCCUUUCUUCUUUUCCAAAAACAGAGCAAAGGGCCCAGCAUCUGUAGUCAGCCGACAACUAUCUCGGCCUUUGGGGAUGGUCUGGUCGUACUUGUGAUUCCGAUGAAGAGGAGUAACCGCUCCAGGUACCUUGACCUUUGUACAGCCCGGAGGCCAACACUGUGGGCGUGACUCUUUAGCGACACAACCCUUGUGGUGAUGAUGUGUGUAUAUAUAUAAGGAUAUAUUGGGAAGAUUUCUAAAUAAAAGUUUUACA
This is an RNA transcript of Lutra lutra (Eurasian river otter), 6521 nucleotides long. It is a transcript of the gene named TAL bHLH transcription factor 1, erythroid differentiation factor, with no coding region annotated. The record is from RefSeq and is a predicted model, not a curated record. NCBI's taxonomy places the organism in Eukaryota, Metazoa, Chordata, Mammalia, Carnivora, Mustelidae. The transcript is spliced from 5 exons.